AUUAAAGGGCCGCGGUAUUUUAACCGUGCAAAGGUAGCAUAAUCAUUAGGUUUUUAAUUAGAAUCUUGUAUGAAUGGUUCGACAAAAGAAAUACUGUCUUUAUGCUAAAAUUUGAAUUUAACUUUUAAGUGAAAAGGCUUAAAUAUAUUAAAGGGACGAUAAGACCCUAUAAAACUUUACAUUGUAAUUUUAUUUAAUUAAAUUUAUAAAAUAAAAAUUUGAUUUAAUUAUAUGUUGUGUUGGGGAGACAGAAGUAAAAAUAAAUUUUAACUGCUUUAUAUUAAAACAUAUAUUUAUGAAAUAUUAAAUGAUCCUUUAUAAAGAUUAAAAGAUUAAGUUACUUUAGGGAUAACAGCGUUAUUUUUUUUGAGAGUUCCUAUCGAAAAGAAAGUUUGCGACCUCGAUGUUGAAUUAAAAUAUCUUUAUAGUGCAGAAGCUAUAAAAGAAGGUCUGUUCGACCUUUAAAUUUUUACAUGAUUUGAGUUCA
This 487-nucleotide ribosomal RNA is filed under the name Potamon persicum. RNAcentral describes it as "partial large subunit ribosomal RNA". It matches the Rfam family "Bacterial large subunit ribosomal RNA", at positions 1922 to 2613 of the family's 2925-position model. The record is from RNAcentral. Lineage: Eukaryota; Metazoa; Arthropoda; Malacostraca; Decapoda; Potamidae.